Molecule: ribosomal RNA, 305 nt
Filed under: uncultured bacterium
Lineage: Bacteria
Description: partial 16S ribosomal RNA
Rfam family: Bacterial small subunit ribosomal RNA
Source: RNAcentral
ACAGCAGUAGCCGCGGUAAUACGUAGGUCCCGAGCGUUGUCCGGAUUUAUUGGGCGUAAAGGGAGCGCAGGCGGUUUAGUAAGUCUGAAGUUAAAGGCAUUGGCUCAACCAAUGUAUGCUUUGGAAACUGUUAGACUUGAGUGCAGAAGGGGAGAGUGGAAUUCCAUGUGUAGCGGUGAAAUGCGUAGGUAUAUGGAGGAACACCGGUGGCGAAAGCGGCUCUCUGGUCUGUCACUGACGCUGAGGCUCGAAAGCGUGGGUAGCGAACAGGAUUAGAUACCCCGGUAGUCCCUGUCUCUUAUACA